CACGCCCUAAACGUUGAUUACUCGUUGUUGGCGAUACACAGUCAGCGACCAAGCGAAAGCGUUAAGUAAUCCACCUGGGGAGUACGUCCGCAAGGAUGAAACUCAAAGGAAUUGACGGGGGCCCGCACAAGCGGAGGAGCAUGUGGUUUAAUUCGAUGAUACGCGAGGAACCUUACCUGGGCUUGAAUGUUAGUGACCGGCUGGGAAACCAGUCAUCUCUUCGGAGCACAAAACAAGGUGC
RNAcentral lists this ribosomal RNA (241 nucleotides) under uncultured bacterium. Its description in RNAcentral is "partial 16S ribosomal RNA". It matches the Rfam family "Bacterial small subunit ribosomal RNA", at positions 796 to 1041 of the family's 1533-position model. The record is from RNAcentral.